Long non-coding RNA from Etheostoma cragini (Arkansas darter), 403 nucleotides. RefSeq lists it as uncharacterized. The record is from RefSeq and is a predicted model, not a curated record. NCBI's taxonomy places the organism in Eukaryota, Metazoa, Chordata, Actinopteri, Perciformes, Percidae. The transcript has 2 exons.
AGUGUUACAGAGUUAUUUAGUGACUCCACUUGCCAGGGUUUAAUCAUCCAAUACCAAGAGGUUUUAUGGACAUCCUGAAUUGGGAUUGGUGAGUGGGCAUCUCCUCAGUAUGCCCUUUUACGUGACUUAGCAGUGCCAGUGCCGUGUUAGGUUGGAUUGCACCCGGUCACAAGUACAUUUUGAUUGUUCCUUUAAAUAUUUCAUUUACAUGUCAUGUUGAUAUGAUGAUGUAUAAAUACUUACGUAUAUUGUAGUGCCGGCUAUGUAUACAGCUUGAAAUGCUUAUCUCAUGCAAUGUAUCCAAAGUGCCUAGAAUGACUGGGUGUGUACGCUGUGUCCUAUGUGGCUGAUCAGGACACAAUUCUUUGUUCACCAGAAUAAAUCAAAACAGAUUGAGAAGCAA